This 122-nucleotide ribosomal RNA is filed under the name Candidatus Methanophagales archaeon. Lineage: Archaea; Methanobacteriati; Methanobacteriota; Methanomicrobia; Candidatus Methanophagales. The record is from RNAcentral.
CAUAGCGGCCAUAGCGGCGGGGAAACUCCUGGACUCAUUCCGAACCCAGAAGAUAAGCCCGUCAGCGUUCUUUGCUGUACUGCGUUGCGCGAGCACUCGGGAACCAAAGAUCGCUGCUAUGC